ACUAGCGACCAAAGCGGAAGGGUUACACCUGUUCCCGUUCCGAACACAGAAGUUAAGCCUUCCAGCGAUCUGGGCUGUACUGUCGAACAGAUGGGAAACCCAGGACGUUGCUAGUA
This 116-nucleotide ribosomal RNA is filed under the name archaeon. The record is from RNAcentral.